RNAcentral lists this ribosomal RNA (587 nucleotides) under uncultured bacterium. RNAcentral's name for it is "bacterial SSU rRNA". It matches the Rfam family "Bacterial small subunit ribosomal RNA", at positions 337 to 917 of the family's 1533-position model. The record is from RNAcentral.
UCCUACGGGAGGCAGCAGUGGGGAAUUUUGGACAAUGGGCGAAAGCCUGAUCCAGCCAUGCCGCGUGCAGGAUGAAGGCCUUCGGGUUGUAAACUGCUUUUGUACGGAACGAAAAGACUCUGGUUAAUACCUGGGGUCCAUGACGGUACCGUAAGAAUAAGCACCGGCUAACUACGUGCCAGCAGCCGCGGUAAUACGUAGGGUGCAAGCGUUAAUCGGAAUUACUGGGCGUAAAGCGUGCGCAGGCGGUUAUAUAAGACAGAUGUGAAAUCCCCGGGCUCAACCUGGGAACUGCAUUUGUGACUGUAUAGCUAGAGUACGGCAGAGGGGGAUGGAAUUCCGCGUGUAGCAGUGAAAUGCGUAGAUAUGCGGAGGAACACCGAUGGCGAAGGCAAUCCCCUGGGCCUGUACUGACGCUCAUGCACGAAAGCGUGGGGAGCAAACAGGAUUAGAUACCCUGGUAGUCCACGCCCUAAACGAUGUCAACUGGUUGUUGGGUCUUCACUGACUCAGUAACGAAGCUAACGCGGGAAGUUGACCGCCUGGGGAGUACGGCCGCAAGGUUGAAACUCAAAUGAAUUGACGGA